This 756-nucleotide ribosomal RNA is filed under the name Marinobacter sp. RNAcentral's name for it is "bacterial SSU rRNA". It matches the Rfam family "Bacterial small subunit ribosomal RNA", at positions 59 to 805 of the family's 1533-position model. Lineage: Bacteria; Pseudomonadati; Pseudomonadota; Gammaproteobacteria; Pseudomonadales; Marinobacteraceae. The record is from RNAcentral.
CAGUCGAGCGGUAACAGGGGGUGCUUGCACCCCGCUGACGAGCGGCGGACGGGUGAGUAAUGCAUAGGAAACUGCCCAGUAGUGGGGGAUAGCCCGGGGAAACCCGGAUUAAUACCGCGUACGCCCUUCGGGGGAAAGCAGGGGAUCUUCGGACCUUGCGCUAUUGGAUGUGCCUAUGUCGGAUUAGCUAGUUGGUGGGGUAAAGGCCUACCAAGGCGACGAUCCGUAGCUGGUCUGAGAGGAUGAUCAGCCACAUCGGGACUGAGACACGGCCCGAACUCCUACGGGAGGCAGCAGUGGGGAAUAUUGGACAAUGGGGGCAACCCUGAUCCAGCCAUGCCGCGUGUGUGAAGAAGGCUUUCGGGUUGUAAAGCACUUUCAGUGAGGAGGAAAAGUUGGUCGUUAAUACCGGCCAGCCUUGACGUUACUCACAGAAGAAGCACCGGCUAACUCCGUGCCAGCAGCCGCGGUAAUACGGAGGGUGCAAGCGUUAAUCGGAAUUACUGGGCGUAAAGCGCGCGUAGGUGGUUUGAUAAGCGAGAUGUGAAAGCCCCGGGCUUAACCUGGGAACGGCAUUUCGAACUGUCAGGCUAGAGUAUGGUAGAGGAGUGUGGAAUUUCCUGUGUAGCGGUGAAAUGCGUAGAUAUAGGAAGGAACACCAGUGGCGAAGGCGGCACUCUGGUAGCCAAUACUGACACUGAGUGCGAAAGCGUGGGGAGCAGACAGGAUUAGAUACCCUGGUAGUCGACGCCGUAA